RNAcentral lists this ribosomal RNA (788 nucleotides) under uncultured Lactobacillus sp. Its description in RNAcentral is "bacterial SSU rRNA". It matches the Rfam family "Bacterial small subunit ribosomal RNA", at positions 28 to 776 of the family's 1533-position model. The record is from RNAcentral. Lineage: Bacteria; Bacillati; Bacillota; Bacilli; Lactobacillales; Lactobacillaceae.
GACGAACGCUGGCGGCGUGCCUAAUACAUGCAAGUCGAGCGAGCUUGCCUAGAUGAAUUUGGUGCUUGCACCAGAUGAAACUAGAUACAAGCGAGCGGCGGACGGGUGAGUAACACGUGGGUAACCUGCCCAAGAGACUGGGAUAACACCUGGAAACAGAUGCUAAUACCGGAUAACAACACUAGACGCAUGUCUAGAGUUUAAAAGAUGGUUCUGCUAUCACUCUUGGAUGGACCUGCGGUGCAUUAGCUAGUUGGUAAGGUAACGGCUUACCAAGGCAAUGAUGCAUAGCCGAGUUGAGAGACUGAUCGGCCACAUUGGGACUGAGACACGGCCCAAACUCCUACGGGAGGCAGCAGUAGGGAAUCUUCCACAAUGAACGCAAGUCUGAUGGAGCAGCGCCGCGUGAGUGAAGAAGGGUUUCGGCUCGUAAAGCUCUGUUGGUAGUGAAGAAAGAUAGAGGUAGUAACUGGCCUUUAUUUGACGGUAAUUACUUAGAAAGUCACGGCUAACUACGUGCCAGCAGCCGCGGUAAUACGUAGGUGGCAAGCGUUGUCCGGAUUUAUUGGGCGUAAAGCGAGUGCAGGCGGUUCAAUAAGUCUGAUGUGAAAGCCUUCGGCUCAACCGGAGAAUUGCAUCAGAAACUGUUGAACUUGAGUGCAGAAGAGGAGAGUGGAACUCCAUGUGUAGCGGUGGAAUGCGUAGAUAUAUGGAAGAACACCAGUGGCGAAGGCGGCUCUCUGGUCUGCAACUGACGCUGAGGCUCGAAAGCAUGGGUAGCGAACAGG